UAACGCGUGGAUAACCUGCCUCACACAGGGGAUAACAGUUAGAAAUGACUGCUAAUACCGCAUAAGCGCACGGCAUCGCAUGAUGCAGUGUGAAAAACUCCGGUGGUGUGAGAUGGAUCCGCGUCUGAUUAGGUAGUUGGUGGGUAACGCCCACCAAGCCGACGAUCAGUAGCCGACCUGAGAGGGUGACCGGCCACAUUGGGACUGAGACACGGCCCAA
RNAcentral lists this ribosomal RNA (220 nucleotides) under uncultured bacterium. Its description in RNAcentral is "partial 16S ribosomal RNA". It matches the Rfam family "Bacterial small subunit ribosomal RNA", at positions 111 to 334 of the family's 1533-position model. The record is from RNAcentral.